This is an unclassified non-coding RNA of Octopus bimaculoides (California two-spot octopus), 1652 nucleotides long. The record is from RefSeq and is a predicted model, not a curated record. NCBI's taxonomy places the organism in Eukaryota, Metazoa, Mollusca, Cephalopoda, Octopoda, Octopodidae.
CGUGUGUUUUUUUAUUAUGUGGUUUUAAAAACAUAGUGGAAACAUUUCGUCUAAAUUACAUACAUAGAAUUUAUAUAUACCUUUACAGGGGUAAAACAUAUGUCACUAGAUAUGGUGAGAUAUAAAUGAUAUAACUUAGAUAGGUUUGAAGAAACAUUCUGCCAAGACCGCUAAACUCACCAGAGAAGUCCACUAUGCUGCUUUUCAUGGUUAUUCCUCUUUUAUUUAUUGCCAAGUGGCUGCGGUCAUGCUGGUGCACCACCGUUAUAUAUAAUGAUUCACUAUACAGGGCAUUUAUUGAUUAUAAAAAGGCCUUCGAAUUCGUCUGACGUUUCUCAUUGUAAGAGGUAUAACGGUUGACGGGCAUUAAGAAUUCAACGGUGGAUGAUAAUGGAAUGCAAGCUAACGGAUAGGUAUAUAGCAAGAGAAAAAGAAAAGAUGUUGGGAAAUAUUAUAUUUCAUCCAUAUACUUUAAACUCCAUUCUGUAGAAAUGAUGUGGAGGGCCAUGGCAGGUGUUUUUACUUGGAUCAAUAUAUCAUAUUAAAGACUGUGAUUAAAUGAACUUUGUGAUAGUGAUGGUAAACUACUUAUUUAUAUGUCACCAGCUUAACUCUGUAGAUAUAUUGAAAAAUGUUUAUUCUUUUGUGGGCUAAAGAUUUAGCUCUAUUGGCAAAAAAAAAAAGAAAUAGAAAAGGAUCAAUAUUAUGACAGCCAAUUGGGAACCGGAGAAGCUUACAAAGACAAAGGAUCAAUUUAUCUCGGCUUGAUGAGUUCAAAACUUUAGCCUUAACGUGCUGAACAAACGGCAAAUUGGAGCCACGAAAUCAAAGAUAUCAUGUAGAAAAAUAGGUCGUUGAUGAUAAUCAAUAAAUAUCUACAGAUUCUGCUGUCAGCCACAUCCAGAAUGUUUGUGUAUUGCAAAUACAAAGAUGAACAAAGCUGUCAUAAAUUUCCUGAAAUUUUUCGGUGACCAAUCAAAAACUCACGUGACGCUGUCGCUGAAGAUUGCGAAGAGUUGGCAUGGAAGCAUUGCCCUUACUCUUAUAACAUGACUUAUAAAGAGGACCCUCAUUGCUGGGCUUACACUAGUUUUUACGAGUGCUUUCGAAGAAUUGACGAAUAUUGCACUAAAUACUUUAAGUUCAAAAAUUACAAUAUAUGUGGGUUUUUAGUUGGAAACUCCAGCCAACGCAAUCAGGUGGUGUUCCAGUCUGUAUUGUUCUCUGUUGCAGCAGCUAUAAGACUAAUACAAAUUUCAAUAAAUCUGAUGUUAAUCUAAUUGUGUAGCUGUAAUGGAUAAAUGUGAUCAUUAUGGAAAGCAUCAUUGCGGUGGGUUGGUUCGACCAUAUACUAUGAUUGACCCGAGCUGCCGUGUUUAUACUGCAGGGGCUACAGGAAGUUUAUACAAUGCACCAAUGGAAAGAUAUUUCGGUGUUAUGCAUUUUUUAAGUCCAAUGCAGAGUGUGUGGUUAUGAAGGCCACACAAUAUAUAUUCACUAAAUCCUAAUGCUAUUCAAAUGUUGUGUAGGAUACAGUUAUCUACCGCACUGAUGAGAAUAAUUGUCAGGGAUGCUCUACACGUUAUUCUCUACUCCAGGAGUGUUUAUAUUAUUUACGCCAUUUCAAAUAAAUACAAAAACAUUUAUUGUAA